AAGUGAGGUAGCUGGGCAUAUGG
RNAcentral lists this non-coding RNA (23 nucleotides) under Cricetulus griseus (Chinese hamster). Lineage: Eukaryota; Metazoa; Chordata; Mammalia; Rodentia; Cricetidae. The record is from RNAcentral.